CAUAGAAUAUGAGUUCAUUGAAUGCAGAGGCCAAUUUUUUGUCUUACUUUGUAUUCCCAGUGCUUAGCACAAUGUCUGGUACACAGUUAGAGUAUAAUAAAUGCUAUUUAAAUGACUGAAUAAUUUCAUCAGAUAUAUUCCAUCCUGCCACCACAUGCAUAUCUUCCUCUCCCUCAUCCAUUCCUUUUCAUCUCUUGUUCUGGGAGAGGGAAAGAUUAGUUCUAUUAUUUCAUUGGUAUCAGAACUCGGAUGAUGAAAUAUCUCUGCUAACCCAAGUCAGCACCUUUUCAACAAUUUGCAAUCUUAAGAGAGCUCCCCUGAACACUUUAAGGUUGCAGUAUAUACCCAGGAUUCAGUAAUCCAAUUAUAAAUAUAAUUGCUUCUGGGAAAGUUGUAUGAAUAGACUAGACUAUUGUUUUAUUCACUAUUCCUAUCACUUGCUAGAUCAAAACAUCUUCACUUUAUCAUCAUUCACCUAAGCCUCUUGAGGGUUCUCACUUUUGUACCUGUAUCACUACUGAUAAAACAAAAAAACUCAAUAUAUGCUUUUGUGAAGAUGGGAUUGACUCUCCCCUUGCCUAUUUUUUAAUUAAUCAACCAAAACAUUAACACUCCUACUUGGCAGGAGGUGGGGGAGUUCUCAAACCACUUAGAAAGCUCCACCCUUUCAACUCAAUCAGUCAGAAACUUGUGAAUCCUUUGAUAAGUUUAUACCCACAUAGGACUAGAGAUGAAACCUACAAACAUUGCCCCCCUACCACCCCACCACCUGGGCAGUGCUAAGCAAAUUUAAAGACUCUAAUUGAUCCCCAUAAAAUGGAGGAAGGGGCAGGAAGGGAUGUAAAAAAGGACUAUAAAAUAUGAUGAACUUCCUGUGCAAGAGGUCUUUGUCCUAAAUUUUCAGUUUGAAGGAGCUUGGACUGGGACUGCGGCUCUUGGACUACUUCUGGUAAGAUGACUCCCAGAUCUUCUUCCUUUGGAUCAUCUCCUGGUUUAAAACUGUUCAAAGAUAAAUUGGAGAAAGACAGGUAUGUUUACAAAAAUAAAAUUAUUCCUCUAACCAUCUUCAGAAUAGUAAGAAAAACAAUAUUCAAGAGAAUUAGAAUUCGUUAUUAUUACACCACAACCAUGAAACUAG
RNAcentral lists this long non-coding RNA (1138 nucleotides) under Monodelphis domestica (gray short-tailed opossum). Its description in RNAcentral is "lncRNA (ENSMODG00000041365.1)". The record is from RNAcentral. Lineage: Eukaryota; Metazoa; Chordata; Mammalia; Didelphimorphia; Didelphidae.